CAGUCGCCACGGUAAUACGUAGGUGGCAAGCGUUGUCCGGAAUUAUUGGGCGUAAAGGGCUCGCAGGCGGUUUCUUAAGUCUGAUGUGAAAGCCCCCGGCUCAACCGGGGAGGGUCAUUGGAAACUGGGAAACUUGAGUGCAGAAGAGGAGAGUGGAAUUCCACGUGUAGCGGUGAAAUGCGUAGAGAUGUGGAGGAACACCAGUGGCGAAGGCGACUCUCUGGUCUGUAACUGACGCUGAGGAGCGAAAGUGUGGGGAGCGAACAGGAUUAGAUACCCCUGUAGUCCCUGUCUCUUAUAC
This 301-nucleotide ribosomal RNA is filed under the name uncultured bacterium. Its description in RNAcentral is "partial 16S ribosomal RNA". It matches the Rfam family "Bacterial small subunit ribosomal RNA", at positions 509 to 807 of the family's 1533-position model. The record is from RNAcentral.